UACGUAGGGGGCAAGCGUUGUCCGGAAUUACUGGGCGUAAAGGGCUCGUAGGCGGCCAACUAAGUCGGAUGUGAAAUCCCCAGGCUUAACCUGGGAACUGCAUCCGAUACUGGAUGGCUUGAAUCCGGGAGAGGGAUGCAGAAUUCCAGGUGUAGCGGUGAAAUGCGUAGAUAUCUGGAGGAAUACCGGUGGCGAAGGCGGCCUGCUGGGCAGUAGCUGACACUGAGGCGCGACAGCGUGGGGAGCAAACAGG
Molecule: ribosomal RNA, 253 nt
Filed under: uncultured bacterium
Lineage: Bacteria
Description: partial 16S ribosomal RNA
Rfam family: Bacterial small subunit ribosomal RNA
Source: RNAcentral